Molecule: long non-coding RNA, 296 nt
Organism: Bactrocera latifrons
Lineage: Eukaryota; Metazoa; Arthropoda; Insecta; Diptera; Tephritidae
Exons: 2
Source: RefSeq, a predicted model, not a curated record
UAGCCUUGGUCGUAGCCAUGACGGUUAUUCAGUUGGCCGCUGCACAAUUUUUACAAAAUGACGAUCAAUUCAUACCGAUAAAGAUGUAAAAAACCAUCACCACUACCACAAGAAAUGGAAAACCGACAUUCUACUCACAAGAAGGACUAUCACCAAUAAGAAAAAAAAAGAAAAACACUUUUUAACCUAAAUGUUGACUUAGCGCCUGAAGAUGUGUUUGAUGAACCAGAUUUAAUAAUUGUAAAGUAAAACUUUAAAUUCAUUGUGUCUACAUAAUAAACUCAUUAACAUUAUAA